GAUGAACGCUGGCGGCGUGCCUAAUACAUGCAAGUCGAGCGAACAGACGAGGAGCUUGCUCCUCUGACGUUAGCGGCGGACGGGCGAGUAACACGUGGAUAACCUACCUAUAAGACUGGGAUAACUUCGGGAAACCGGAGCUAAUACCGGAUAAUAUAUUGAACCGCAUGGUUCAAUAGUGAAAGACGGUUUUGCUGUCACUUAUAGGUGGAUCCGCGCCGCAUUAGCUAGUUGGUAAGGUAACGGCUUACCAAGGCAACGAUGCGUAGCCGACCUGAGAGGGUGAUCGGCCACACUGGAACUGAGACACGGUCCAGACUCCUACGGGAGGCAGCAGUAGGGAAUCUUCCGCAAUGGGCGAAAGCCUGACGGAGCAACGCCGCGUGAGUGAUGAAGGUCUUCGGAUCGUAAAACUCUGUUAUUAGGGAAGAACAAAUGUGUAAGUAACUAUGCACGUCUUGACGGUACCUAAUCAGAAAGCCACGGCUAACUACGUG
This 497-nucleotide ribosomal RNA is filed under the name uncultured bacterium. Its description in RNAcentral is "partial 16S ribosomal RNA". It matches the Rfam family "Bacterial small subunit ribosomal RNA", at positions 28 to 507 of the family's 1533-position model. The record is from RNAcentral.